RNAcentral lists this ribosomal RNA (440 nucleotides) under uncultured bacterium. RNAcentral describes it as "partial 16S ribosomal RNA". It matches the Rfam family "Bacterial small subunit ribosomal RNA", at positions 338 to 795 of the family's 1533-position model. The record is from RNAcentral.
CCUACGGGUGGCAGCAGUGGGGAAUAUUGCACAAUGGGGGAAACCCUGAUCCAGCGACGCCGCGUGCGUGAAGAAGUAUUUCGGUAUGUAAAGCUCUAUCAGCAGGGAAGAAAAUGACGGUAACUGACUAAGAAGCCUCGGCUAACUACGUGCCAGCAGCCGCGGUAAUACGUAGGGGGCGAGCGUUAUCCGGAUUUACUGGGUGUAAAGGGAGGGUUGACGGUGCAGCAAGUUUGCUGUGAAAGGUCGGGGCCCAACCCCGGGACUGCAGUGGAAACUGUUGAACUGGAGUACAGGAGAGGUAAGCGGAAUUCCUAGUGUAGCGGUGAAAUGCGUAGAUAUUAGGAGGAACACCAGUGGCGAAGGCGGGUUACUGGACUGUAACUGACGUUGAGGCUCGAAAGCGUAGGGAGCAAACAGGAUUAGAUACCCGAGUAGUC